AUACGGAGGGUGCAAGCGUUACUCGGAAUCACUGGGCGUAAAGCGCGCGCAGGCGGGCUGAUAAGUUGGAUGUGAAAGCCCACGGCUUAACCGUGGAAGUGCAUUUGAAACUGUCAGACUUGAGUAUCAGAGGGGAAAGUGGAAUUCCCGGUGUAGAGGUGAAAUUCGUAGAUAUCAGGAGGAACACCGGUGGCGAAGGCGACUUUCUGGACAGAUACUGACGCUGAGGCGCGAAAGCGUGGGGAGCAAACAGGAUUAGAAACCCCAGUAGUCC
RNAcentral lists this ribosomal RNA (274 nucleotides) under uncultured bacterium. RNAcentral describes it as "partial 16S ribosomal RNA". It matches the Rfam family "Bacterial small subunit ribosomal RNA", at positions 523 to 796 of the family's 1533-position model. The record is from RNAcentral.